UUAAGUUCAGCGGGUAGUCCUACUCGAUUUGAGGUCAAGUUGUCAGACAUUGUCCGAAGACGGUUUAUGAAGCACAGAGCUCCCAAUCGGCCACCCUCUUUCAAGGCGCCGGCGAAGACACUUAUCACGCCGUACUAUGUCCAAUCAGGAGUUGCACUAAUGCAUUUGAGGUGAGCCACCGGGCAGCAGCAACACCCAAG
RNAcentral lists this unclassified non-coding RNA (200 nucleotides) under Sebacina sp. Its description in RNAcentral is "partial internal transcribed spacer 2". Lineage: Eukaryota; Fungi; Basidiomycota; Agaricomycetes; Sebacinales; Sebacinaceae. The record is from RNAcentral.